RNAcentral lists this ribosomal RNA (493 nucleotides) under uncultured Verrucomicrobiota bacterium. RNAcentral's name for it is "bacterial SSU rRNA". It matches the Rfam family "Bacterial small subunit ribosomal RNA", at positions 408 to 897 of the family's 1533-position model. The record is from RNAcentral. Lineage: Bacteria; Pseudomonadati; Verrucomicrobiota.
AUGAAUGGCUUCGGCCGUAAACCCCUGUCAUUUGGGACAAACCUGCCAGUUAUAAAUUGGCAGCUGAUUGUACUAAAAGAGGAAGGGACGGCUAACUCUGUGCCAGCAGCCGCGGUAAUACAGAGGUCCCAAGCGUUGUUCGGAUUUACUGGGCGUAAAGGGUGCGUAGGUGGCCGAUAAAGUCUGAUGUGAAAUCUCCCAGCUCAACUGGGAAACUGCAUCGGAAACUGCUUGGCUUGAGGGUUGAAGGGGGGACUGGAAUACUUGGUGUAGCAGUGAAAUGCGUAGAUAUCAAGUGGAACACCAGUGGCGAAGGCGAGUCCCUGGACAACUCCUGACACUGAGGCACGAAAGCUAGGGGAGCAAACAGGAUUAGAUACCCUGGUAGUCCUAGCUGUAAACGGUGCACGUUUGCUGUGAGUGGAAUCGACCCCUCUCGUGGCGAAGCUAACGCGAUAAACGUGCCGCCUGGGAAGUACGGUCGCAAGAAUUA